Molecule: ribosomal RNA, 254 nt
Filed under: uncultured bacterium
Lineage: Bacteria
Description: partial 16S ribosomal RNA
Rfam family: Bacterial small subunit ribosomal RNA
Source: RNAcentral
GACGUAGGGCGCGAGCGUUGUCCGGAUUUAUUGGGCGUAAAGAGCUCGUAGGCGGCUUGUCGCGUCGACUGUGAAAACCCAUGGCUCAACCAUGUGGUCUGCAGUCGAUACGGGCAGGCUAGAAUUCGGUAGGGGAGACUGGAAUUCCUGGUGUAGCGGUGAAAUGCGCAGAUAUCAGGAGGAACACCGGUGGCGAAGGCGGGUCUCUGGGCCGAUAUUGACGCUGAGGAGCGAAAGCGUGGGGAGCGAACAGG